GAUGAACGCUGGCGGUGUGCCUAAUACAUGCAAGUCGAGCGAACGGACGAGAAGCUCGCUCCUCUGAUGUUAGCGGCGGACGGGCGAGUAACACGUGGAUAACAUACUUAUAUGACUGGGAUAAUUUCGGGAAACCGGAUCCACUACCGGCUAAUACUUCGUACCGCAUGGUUCAAAAGUGAAAGACGGUCUUGCUGUCACUUUUAGAUGGAUCCGCGCUGCAUUAGCUAGUUGGUAAGGUAACGGCUUACCAAGGCGACGAUGCUUAGCCGACCUGAGAGGAUGAUCGGCCACACUGGAACUGAGACACGGUCCAGACUCCUACGGGAGGCAGCAGUGGGGAAUCUUCCGCAAUGGGCGAAAGCCUGACGGAGCAACACCGCGUGGGUGAUGAAGGUCUUCGGGUCGUAAAGCUCUGUUAUUAGGGAAGAACAUCUGUAGAAUUAACUGUGCACAUCUUGACGGUACCUAAUCAGAAAGCAACGGCUAACUACGUG
RNAcentral lists this ribosomal RNA (497 nucleotides) under uncultured bacterium. RNAcentral's name for it is "partial 16S ribosomal RNA". It matches the Rfam family "Bacterial small subunit ribosomal RNA", at positions 28 to 507 of the family's 1533-position model. The record is from RNAcentral.